This is a long non-coding RNA of Ctenopharyngodon idella (grass carp), 1760 nucleotides long. RefSeq lists it as uncharacterized. The record is from RefSeq and is a predicted model, not a curated record. The transcript is spliced from 3 exons. NCBI's taxonomy places the organism in Eukaryota, Metazoa, Chordata, Actinopteri, Cypriniformes, Xenocyprididae.
UUUGUAGUGAACAGCACAUUCCAGGGCCCAGUUUAUGGCCGGGCCCCUCUCUGUCCGUAACAGCGGACAAAGGUUUGCUACAUUUUGAUUGGAUCUUGGUGGACUAACACAAACAAACUGUCCAACGCCAUCAGAUAAAGAUGUAAGGACAACAUCCAGACCUCUCUUAGAGGGCAAGAAGAAGACCUCUUGUACCAAGCCUGGGAAGGACAGGACUUCUCAUUGGUCCACAUGCAGUUUCUGCCCUUCACCCAUCUAGAGACUACUUCCUAAGGUUGGCCAGAGACUGCCAUAAAAAUUCCUCGGGACCUCAGCAGCAAUGGGUGAAACAAAGAGAGAUCACAAAGAUCCAUCCAAAGCCAUUCAAAACUAUGUUUGAAAACCUUAGAACUGAUGCAAACUACACAUCCAUUUCAUACUUAUUCACAGGAAUAAGUAUUCUCAGCUGUUUGUAGUGAAACAUCUGACACAAAUUCAGCUGUUAAUGUACAAUUGACAGUUCAAUCUUCUUCCAUCAUGUUUAGUCUCUAUUUGUUUAGAAUAUUGCCAAAGGUAUUCUGGUGGUGGUUUGGAAAGUGAGAAAUGCAUUGGUAAACUUUAAAGACACUGUAAAGACUUCCAACUUUGUGCUUUAUGCAAAUGAGUUCCACAGGGCAAAGAAGGGUGGGCCACACUGUGUGUGUCCCCUCUGAUGCCAGCAGCCAAUCACAGCACUCGAAUGGAGAAGCACCAAAUUGCAAUCUCCUCCUCAUCAGAAAGGGAUAAAGGUACCCUUUCAACAGACAUUCCUUGUUCUGAGUCUGCCCUUCAAAGGGGAAAGACAUAACAGAUAUACUGUUCUGGGUCUCAACUCUGUAAGGAGUGAGACAUUAACAGAUAUACCGUUCUGAGUCUGUCCUGCACGGGGAUAGACAUUGACAGAUACAUUCUCGUUCUGAGCCUCUGGUUCGUCCAGAGAGACAACAACAGAUCCCAUGAUCUGAGUCUACAGCUGGCGAGGCAGCAACAGAGACGACCACGUUCUGAGCCUCCAGCCUGUGAGGAAAGAGACAUUAACAAACACUACAUUCAGAGUUUCCGUCCAGCGAGACAGUAACGACAUCUGCAACAAGGUUAAGCUCAGGAGAGCAAACCUUCACUCCAAGGUACCUUCGUCUGCGUGUUCCAGAUUGUUAAGGACCUUCUGCACCUACACCAGGGCCUCAUCUGCAUGUUCCAGAUUUUAGGACCCUUUGGUGCUCCAGGAGAUCAGCAUCCCACAGAGCUUCGUGUUCAAGACUGUUGAAACAGAUUCUGGCUCCUCUCCCCACUGCAUUGUCACCCAGCACAACCAGUGGAAGACGUCACCGUCAUCGGACUCAACCACGUGGAAUAUAAAUCAGCUGACCACUUUACAUUAAUUCCAAAUGAAUGAAAGCCCCUGUUGAGAGUGUUCUCAUACUGCAACAGUAAAGACCUUGACUGGUGCCCUGAACUAGGAAAAGGAGGGAAGUGGUCACCUGAUGUACUCAUAACCACACCUUAAGAGACGUGUGAUCCAAAAAUUACAACGUCAGUGGUGACGUAUUCAUUUAUAUGAACUCACUCAGUCUGAGUCUCUGACUGUCUGUCCUGAUGCCACUCUAACUAUCAACUGUAAAAUCUCAUAUUCAGUUACUAGUUAUAGUACAGCCUGGAUUCGUCAGCCUGCAGGAAAAGCUCUGGAGUGGAUUGGAUUGAUUGGCUCUGGUGGAGGCUUAUACUACAAGGAUUCACUGAAA